RNAcentral lists this ribosomal RNA (865 nucleotides) under uncultured Clostridia bacterium. Its description in RNAcentral is "bacterial SSU rRNA". It matches the Rfam family "Bacterial small subunit ribosomal RNA", at positions 27 to 896 of the family's 1533-position model. The record is from RNAcentral. Lineage: Bacteria; Bacillati; Bacillota; Clostridia.
GGACGAACGCUGGCGGCGUGCCUAACACAUGCAAGUCGAGCGAAGAGAUUACCAAGAAAUCUUCGGAUGGAAAGGUAAUCCUCUUAGCGGCGGAUGGGUGAGUAACGCGUGAGGAACCUGCCUUCCACAAGGGGAUAGCCUCGGGAAACCGGGAUUAAUACCCUAUGAUACUUAAAUAUCGCAUGAUAAAUAAGUUAAAGCGUUAGCAGUGGAAGAUGGCCUCGCGUCCCAUUAGCUAGUUGGUGAGAUAAAAGCUCACCAAGGCAACGAUGGGUAGCCGGCUUGAGAGAGUGACCGGCCACACUGGAACUGAGACACGGUCCAGACUCCUACGGGAGGCAGCAGUGGGGAAUAUUGCACAAUGGAGGGAACUCUGGUGCAGCGACGCCGCGUGAGCGAAGAAGGCCUUCGGGUCGUAAAGCUCUGUCCUAUGGGACGAUAAUGACGGUACCAUAGGAGGAAGCCCCGGCUAACUACGUGCCAGCAGCCGCGGUAAUACGUAGGGGGCGAGCGUUGUCCGGAAUUACUGGGCGUAAAGGGUACGCAGGCGGCCAUGUAAGUCAGAUGUGAAAGGCGUAGGCUUAACCUAUGUAAGCAUUUGAAACUGUGUGGCUUGAGUUAAGGAGAGGAAAGUGGAAUUCCUGGUGUAGCGGUGAAAUGCGUAGAUAUCAGGAGGAAUACCAGUGGCGCAGGCGACUUUCUGGACUUAAACUGACGCUGAGGUACGAAAGCGUGGGGAGCAAACAGGAUUAGAUACCCUGGUAGUCCACGCCGUAAACGAUGAGUGCUAGGUGUCGGGAGGGAACUUUCGGUGCCGCAGUUAACACAUUAAGCACUCCGCCUGGGGAGUACGUUCGCAAGAAUG